CUUCCUCCUCCGCCUCCUCAGCUCUUGGGCUAGAAUAUCUAUGGGUCGAAACGUGAUGCGAUGAAUUCGAGAGAGAGCGAAACUAGGACGAGGAGUGCGGCGGAAGCGGCGGGACUCCCGGGCAUGGGGGCUUCACCACAAUAGAGGCAGCGCCCCCACCCGCCCCCGCCAGCCCCUCCGGAGCGAAGCCCCCAAACCCCCUCGGGAAAAGGAUGGCGGCAGCACCUACCCAGAUCGAAGCCGAGCUGUAUUACCUGAUCGCUAGGUUCUUGCAGUCUGGACCCUGCAACAAAUCCGCUCAGGUGCUAGUGCAGGAGCUCGAGGAGCAUCAGCUGAUUCCGCGCCGCUUAGAUUGGGAGGGGAAAGAGCACCGAAGAAGCUUCGAGGAUCUGGUGGCAGCAAAUGCACACAUUCCUCCAGACUACCUCCUUAAAAUUUGUGAGAGAAUUGGUCCUUUACUAGAUAAAGAGAUCCCUCAGAGUGUUCCUGGGGUACAGACAUUAUUAGGUGUUGGUCGGCAGUCUCUGCUACGGGAUGCCAAAGACUGUAAGAGUACACUAUGGAAUGGGUCUGCUUUUGCGGCUCUGCAUAGAGGCAGACCUCCAGAACUACCUGUAAAUUAUGUGAAACCUCCAAAUGUGGUGAAUAUCACCUCUGCCAGGCAAUUAACCGGAUGUAGUCGCUUUGGUCAUAUUUUCCCUUCAUCUGCUUACCAGCACAUCAAGAUGCAUAAGAGAAUUCUGGGCCACUUGUCAUCUGUCUACUGUGUAGCAUUUGACCGAAGCGGGCGAAGAAUUUUUACAGGUUCAGAUGACUGUUUAGUAAAAAUUUGGGCUACAGAUGAUGGACGCCUUCUUGCUACACUUCGUGGACACUCUGCUGAAAUUUCUGACAUGGCUGUUAACUAUGAAAACACUCUUAUUGCUGCAGGCAGCUGUGAUAAGGUAGUAAGAGUAUGGUGUCUUCGAACUUGUGCACCCGUUGCAGUCCUUCAGGGCCAUUCAGCUUCUAUUACUUCCAUACAGGUAAGAAAAGUGAUAAAAUUUAGCUUGAACAUAUGUAAUAAAGGUGAGAAUUCUCUGAUUUCAUGUUACAUUGUAUAGAUAAUAGUCCAAAGAAUAACAAGAGAAAAAUGCUCCCUUCUGGACUUUGCUCCUACCCUGCAGCAAGGUAUUUUUUUAAGUUCCUUUUUCUUAUAAUUAUCUUUUUUAAUAAAUAAGUAAAAAGAUUAUUUAAAAAGUUCUAUAAAUAGAGUGAGAUAUCUUAUUUGUAUUUGUUAAGAAGGGAGAAAACCUGUAAAUGCCUUAAGAGCACACUCUUUCCUGUUAGGAUAUAAACGGGUUCUACCAU
RNAcentral lists this small RNA (1350 nucleotides) under Pongo abelii (Sumatran orangutan). RNAcentral's name for it is "processed transcript". The record is from RNAcentral. Lineage: Eukaryota; Metazoa; Chordata; Mammalia; Primates; Hominidae.